UUCCCCUUCGGGGGACAAAGUGACAGGUGGUGCAUGGUUGUCGUCAGCUCGUGUCGUGAGAUGUUGGGUUAAGUCCCGCAACGAGCGCAACCCUUAAGCUUAGUUGCCAUCAUUAAGUUGGGCACUCUAAGUUGACUGCCGGUGACAAACCGGAGGAAGGUGGGGAUGACGUCAAAUCAUCAUGCCCCUUAUGAUUUGGGCUACACACGUGCUACAAUGGACAAUACAAAGGGCAGCGAAACCGUGAGGUCAAGCAAAUCCCAUAAAGUUGUUCUCAGUUCGGAUUGUAGUCUGCAACUCGACUACAUGAAGCUGGAAUCGCUAGUAAUCGUAGAUCAGCAUGCUACGGUGAAUACGUUCCCAGGUCUUGUACACACCGCCCGUCACACCACGAGAGUUUGUAACACCCGAAGCCGGUGGAGUAACCUUUUAGGAGCUAGCCGUCGAAGGUGGGACAAAUGAUUGGGGUGAAGUCGUAACAAGGUAGCCGUAUCGGAAGGUGCGGCUGGAUCACCUCCUUU
This 521-nucleotide ribosomal RNA is filed under the name Staphylococcus aureus. RNAcentral's name for it is "bacterial SSU rRNA". It matches the Rfam family "Bacterial small subunit ribosomal RNA", at positions 1013 to 1533 of the family's 1533-position model. Lineage: Bacteria; Bacillati; Bacillota; Bacilli; Caryophanales; Staphylococcaceae. The record is from RNAcentral.